AACACGACCGUACCGCAAACCGACACUGGUGCGCGAGAUGAGUAAUCUAAGGCGCUUGAGAGAACUCAGGAGAAGGAACUCGGCAAAUUGACACCGUAACUUCGGAAGAAGGUGUGCCUUUAGUAGGUGAACCUGUACAAGGGGAGCCCAAUGAGGUUGCAAAAAAUCGGUGGCUGCGACUGUUUAAUAAAAACACAGCACUCUGCAAACACGAAAGUGGACGUAUAGGGUGUGACGCCUGCCCGGUGCUGGAAGAUUAAAUGAUGGGGUGCAAGCUCUUGAUUGAAGUCCCAGUAAACGGCGGCCGUAACUAUAACGGUCCUAAGGUAGCGAAAUUCCUUGUCGGGUAAGUUCCGACCUGCACGAAUGGCGUAACGAUGGCCACACUGUCUCCUCCUGAGACUCAGCGAAGUUGAAAUGUUUGUGAUGAUGCAAUCUCCCCGCGGAAAGACGGAAAGACCCCAUGAACCUUUACUGUAGCUUUGUAUUGGACUUUGAACAGAUCUGUGUAGGAUAGGUGGGAGGCUUUGAAGUGUGGUCGCUAGAUCGCAUGGAGCCAACGUUGAAUACCACCCUGGUGUGUUUGAGGUUCUAACCUAGGCCCGUAAUCCGGGUCGGGGACAGUGCAUGGUAGGCAGUUUGACUGGGGCGGCCUCCUCCCAAAGCGUAACGGAGGAGUUCGAAGGUACGCUAGGUACGGUCGGACAUCGUGCUAAUAGUGCAAUGGCAUAAGCGUGCUUAACUGCGAGACUGACAAGUCGAGCAGAUGCGAAAGCAGGACAUAGUGAUCCGGUGGUUCUGUAUGGAAGGGCCAUCGCUCAACGGAUAAAAGGUACUCUGGGGAUAACAGGCUGAUACCGCCCAAGAGUUCAUAUCGACGGCGGUGUUUGGCACCUCGAUGUCGGCUCAUCUCAUCCUGGGGCUGUAGCCGGUCCCAAGGGUAUGGCUGUUCGCCAUUUAAAGAGGUACGUGAGCUGGGUUUAAAACGUCGUGAGACAGUUUGGUCCCUAUCUUCCGUGGGCGCUGCAGAUUUGAGGAAGCCUGCUCCUAGUACGAGAGGACCGGAGUGGACACACCUCUGGUGUAUCGGUUGUCACGCCAGUGGCAUUGCCGAGUAGCUAUGUGUGGAAGAGAUAACCGCUGAAAGCAUCUAAGCGGGAAACUCGUUUCAAGAUGAGAUCUGCCGGGGCCUUGAGCCCCCUAAAGAGUCGUUCAAGACCAGGACGUUGAUAGGUCGGGUGUGGAAGCGCAGUAAUGCGUUAAGCUAACCGAUACUAAUUUCAA
RNAcentral lists this ribosomal RNA (1284 nucleotides) under metagenome. RNAcentral's name for it is "bacterial LSU rRNA". It matches the Rfam family "Bacterial large subunit ribosomal RNA", at positions 1635 to 2912 of the family's 2925-position model. The record is from RNAcentral.